This 773-nucleotide ribosomal RNA is filed under the name uncultured fungus. Its description in RNAcentral is "eukaryotic LSU rRNA". It matches the Rfam family "Eukaryotic large subunit ribosomal RNA", at positions 24 to 664 of the family's 3401-position model. Lineage: Eukaryota; Fungi. The record is from RNAcentral.
CCCGCUGAACUUAAGCAUAUCAAUAAGCGGAGGAAAAGAAACUAACAAGGAUUCCCUUAGUAACGGCGAGUGAAGAGGGAUGAGUCCAUAGCUUAAAUCCAAUCCUAUAUGUAGGAUGGAGUUGUACUAUGAAGUUAUUUAUUCGGUUCAAGCCUGGGUAUAAAUCCUUUGGGAUAGGGUAUCAUAGAGGGUGAGAAUCCCGUCUUUGACCCAGGGCAUUGAAGCAUGUGAUAAAAUUAACAAAGAGUAGAGUUGUUUGGGAUUGCAGCUCGAAUUGGGAGGUAGUUUUCUCCCAAGGCUAAAUAUGGGCGAGAGACCGAUAGCGAACAAGUACCGUGAGGGAAAGAUGAAAAGAACUUUGAAAAGAGAGUUAAACAGUGCGUGAAAUUGUUGAAAGGGAAACGUUUGAGACCAGUCUAUGUAGGUAUGGUAAUCAGGGUGAGUGAAAGCCGUUUUGGGCGAUUACCACCUGCACUUAUCUGCCUACAGGUCAACAUCAGUUUUACUUGUUGGAAAAAUCUUGUUGGAAUGUGACGAUUGCCCUCACGGGUGUCGUGUUAUAGAUGACAAGAUAUACAAUGGUUGGGACUGAGGAUUGCAGCGCGAAUCUCUUCGGAGGUUGGGUACGUCGGUUGAUAUGAUGGUCGUUUGUAGGGUAUGUUCUGUCUUAAACACAGGACGACUCUCUGCGAUCCAUAUUAGUCGGAUGUUUACACUAUUCUGCGCUUAGGAUGUUGACAUAAUGGUCUUAAACGACCCGUCUUGAAACACGG